RNAcentral lists this ribosomal RNA (309 nucleotides) under Neogloboquadrina pachyderma. RNAcentral's name for it is "partial 18S ribosomal RNA". The record is from RNAcentral. Lineage: Eukaryota; Foraminifera; Rotaliida; Globorotaliidae.
AUAUCUCAUGGUUAUUAAUUCGGUUAUUUAUUUAAGCGGUUAAUUAAGCAUCGAGUGUUAAAUAUGCUAGUCCUUUCAUGAUUAUGUGAUAGGUGGUGCAUGGCCGUUCUUAGUUCGUGGAGUGAUCUGUCUGCUUAAUUGCGUUUCACUAAGGGCCCAUAAAUUCAAGGUAUGUUAGCUAUCGUCGCUCUAUGGACCCCUUAUUCACUGCUUUAAUUAUUUGUUAAGCGCGCGUCUUUAUUUAAUGAGUUUAAACACUGCGCAUGCUGUUGGGCUCUGAAAGCAACGAACGUGACCGCAACGUCUUGU